AAGGUCAAAGAUCGCUCAGUUUAAGGAACACCGGGAAACCAAAGCUGGGCCAGCAGCAAAGKCAAUUACUCAGUCCCAACCCAGAAUUUUGCACCUUGUCUGCUCUCCCCUCUUCGACUUACGUUGUUGCGAGACACCUGGGAGCGACAGGCUGGGGCAGUGCUGCCCAAGCGYAUGGCUGAUCCGGCCCCGCGGAGGCAGCUCCCGCGCCAAGACCCCGCGGGCCCUGAUCCUCCGUGGACCCYGGUCCCGCGCACAGCUGAUCCUCCGCGGACCUUUAUGCAGGUUCAGAGCUGCAGUGACGGGCUCGAAAGAGCCCCGUACGUUCUCCAGGACCUGCGGGAGCCCAGCACGGAUAUCUUGUGGGGGAUACAGAAAUCUGCAUUCAGAGCAGCCGCUCCUGCACCCGACCCGACCUGCGGAGUUUGUGGGCAAAUAAACCACAGGGCCUGAAGGCUUGGCUUCUGUGGACAUCAAUGGAUUAGGAUCAGAUACUAAAAAUACAGCUGAAGAACUGAGAGCGACCAUUCGAUGGACUGAGUUGUUUAGCUUACUUCCCAGCAAGCGUAAGAAUAGAUCUCAGUUUUCCUGCCUGGAGACUGCAGCCUCUGACAGGCCCGGAGAUGUUAAGUGAGAAUAUAGUUUUCCAUGGCUGAAAACCUGAAUCAAGAAAGGAGCCUCCAGGUGUCAAUUUGCUGGGUGAAACCCGCUCAGCUCCGGCGGGAUUCCUGGUGGGAGCACCGCAGGGAGCAGCGCCGUGGGGAGCAGCGCCGUGGGGAGCAGCAUCGCGGGAGCAGCAUCACAGGGAGCAGCAUCGUGGGAGCAGCAUCGUGGGAGCAGCAUCACGGGGAGCAGCAUCGCGGGGAGCAGCGUCGUGGGAGCAGCAUCACAGGGAGCAGCAUCGCGGGGAGCAGCGUCGUGGGAGCAGCGCUGUGUGGAGCAGCAUCGUGGGAGCAGCAUCAUGGGGAGCAGCAUCGCGGGAGCAGCAUCGUGGGAGCAGCAUCACAGGGAGGAGCAUCACAGGGAGCAGCAUCACGGGGAGCAGCAUCGUGGGAGCAGUGCCACGGGGAGCAGCAUCGCGGGGAGCAGCGUCGUGGGAGCAGUGCUGUGUGGAGCAGCACCACGGGAGCAGCGGUGCCCUGGCGAUGGCCGGGACCCUGUGGCCGAGGCACAGGAGAGCCAUCCGCGGCACACCGGGUGCUGCGGGCCGCGAGCCCUCGCCGUGAGCCUGACACAGCUGGGUGCAACCGCGUGGGGCUGACGAAAGAGAGGGAAGAGCCCUGGAACAAAGGGUCUUUCAGGCCACCGAAUGCAGGGGAGAUCCAAGGGGACAAAUCCGCUUUACAGGCAUAG
This 1353-nucleotide long non-coding RNA is filed under the name Dromaius novaehollandiae (emu). RNAcentral describes it as "lncRNA (ENSDNVG00000003248.1)". Lineage: Eukaryota; Metazoa; Chordata; Aves; Casuariiformes; Dromaiidae. The record is from RNAcentral.